AUUAACUCCUGUGAGAAAAGAAACCCUAACUUUCUCAUUGGAGAAGUAUGAGGGUUAUCCAUCUGGUUCAAUGGUUGACUUCGCUUGUGAUGCCUAUGGAUCUCCAAUAUUAGCAAUCAGCAGCUUGGCAGUUCAUACCAAGGACCUUGUAGCUAAUCCAAAAUGCUCUUUGCUUGUAGCAAAAGAUCCUGAGGAUAGGACUGAUUUAAUUAUAACCCUGCACCGUGAUGUUGUUUCUGUAUGUUAAUGACUUCUGAUUUUUGGAUGAUG
Camellia sinensis is the source of this 270-nucleotide long non-coding RNA. RefSeq lists it as uncharacterized. The record is from RefSeq and is a predicted model, not a curated record. NCBI's taxonomy places the organism in Eukaryota, Viridiplantae, Streptophyta, Magnoliopsida, Ericales, Theaceae.